GACAUCAAUCAUCAAUUAUCUGGUUUUCCACAUUGUCCAGUGAUAUUAAGAACAUCUAAAAGCCGGAACACAAAAGCCGCUUCUCUCCAGAACUUUGUUCUUUUCACUUGGUUGAUCAAAGAGCUCUAAAAUUGGUGUCCAGGAGAUGAACAUUGUUGGGGUGACAUGAUGACAAUGGGGAGUGAAAGUGUGCUGGAGCAGAUAUGUCAAUGCUGGAAAGAAAAAGGAAGGGAAAGGGCUCUUUUUAAUUCAUAGAGCAUAUGAAUUUGCCAUGGCUUACUGAGGGAAAUUAAGCGUUCCGCUCGCACGUCACAAUAUGAUUACACAACACAUUGAUGAUAUACAGAAACCAAAAGGAUUCAAAUUGUCGUGGCAAGGAAGUCCAAUCAAAUGUCAGAAUGCAACGAAAUCAAGAAAGAAGACCAAUCGAAAUUCACUAUUGCAAAGUUCACUGCAGUCAGAUUUCGAAAGGUGAACGGUUUGCCAACGUAAGUUAGAGAUUUCCAAACUUAAUUUUGAAUGUCUUAAAU
Long non-coding RNA from Cyprinus carpio (common carp), 530 nucleotides. Lineage: Eukaryota; Metazoa; Chordata; Actinopteri; Cypriniformes; Cyprinidae. The record is from Ensembl.